This 74-nucleotide transfer RNA is filed under the name Erysipelotrichaceae bacterium. Its description in RNAcentral is "tRNA-Trp". It matches the Rfam family "tRNA". Rfam says of the family: Transfer RNA (tRNA) molecules are approximately 80 nucleotides in length. Their secondary structure includes four short double-helical elements and three loops (D, anti-codon, and T loops). Further hydrogen bonds mediate the characteristic L-shaped molecular structure. tRNAs have two regions of fundamental functional importance: the anti-codon, which is responsible for specific mRNA codon recognition, and the 3' end, to which the tRNAs corresponding amino acid is attached (by aminoacyl-tRNA synthetases). tRNAs cope with the degeneracy of the genetic code in two manners: having more than one tRNA (with a specific anti-codon) for a particular amino acid; and 'wobble' base-pairing, i.e. permitting non-standard base-pairing at the 3rd anti-codon position. The record is from RNAcentral. Lineage: Bacteria; Bacillati; Bacillota; Erysipelotrichia; Erysipelotrichales; Erysipelotrichaceae.
AGGGGUGUAGUACAAUGGUAGUAUGAUGGUCUCCAAAACCACAGACGUGGGUUCAAUUCCUACCACCCCUGCCA